CAGUCGUACCAGCGGAUAAUCAGCCUUUAGAUGCGAUUUUGUGGAGCGUGAAGAGCCAAUCGCCUUUAUGCCUGUAUAUUCGUGCACUUUGGGUGUACUUGCUCGUGUGGUUUGUUAACAUCAAUUUCGAACAUCAUAAAAUGGCUGGAGGAAUGUAGCUUCGAUCUCGUAUUGAAGUGUUAUAGCCUUCGGUAGAUGUGGUUUUCGAGAUUGAGGAUUGCAACGGAUACCCUUCGGGGCUACCUAUCUGAUCUCUGAUCGUUGCUCUGGUGCCGAAAGCUUGCUUACGGUUAUCAAAGUCGAUGGUCAAUAUGUUAGAAUGGGUUAAAUUC
RNAcentral lists this ribosomal RNA (332 nucleotides) under Glomus sp. (unid). Lineage: Eukaryota; Fungi; Glomeromycota; Glomeromycetes; Glomerales; Glomeraceae. The record is from RNAcentral.